CGCUUUACGUUUCACCUGCUAGCGAUUUCCCAAGGUCUUCCGUAUUUAUAUGUAUCUUUGAGACGAUUCGGACUUGAUGCGCCCACACGAGCUUUUGCAUCGUUUCAUUCAGCAUUCCCACCGAUAAACGCGACACUGUCUCGUUUCGGUUCGAUCCGAGGCUGAAAAAUUGAUGCUGGACCGUUUGUCGCUUCCUCGCGUGUGCUCUUCAACGAUCCACGAUGCCUAUGUAUCAUUGGUAAAAUAGAUCACAUUGUAAUUGUGAUUUGUAUUUGAUACAGCAGCUUGAAAACUUGAACAAUAGAGUUAGAAAUAUCUGCAAAAUGAUGGACAUUGAUCCUCCACAUUUUGUGUCCAAGGAUGAUGAAGUUCGAUAUUGGAUGGAUCUUGCUCAUCAAAUACACAGAAGGAAAGAAGAUACAGAAAGGGAAUUGGAAGAGUUUCAAGAAAAUUCACAAUUGUUAGAGAAAGAGUUGGAAGCAUCAUUGGAGCAAGCAGAGAAAACUAAUAGAGAUCUAAGGCAACGAAAUACAAGACUCGCCACUGAAGUGGAACAGCUGAGAACAAGAUUAGACCAGCAAACAACGGAUUGUGCAAUGUUUCAAGGAAAGGCUCAAGAUUUACAAGCACAACACGAUCAUUUAUUAAAGUAUAUAAGGGAGUUAGAACAAAAAAAUGAUGACUUAGAAAGAGCUCACAGGAUAAAUAGGGUAACAGAGGAGGAGAUAGAAGCUAAACUUAAUUCAGCUAUCGAGAAAAAUGCUUUACUGGAAUCUGAACUUGAUGAAAAAGAAGGUCUAAAAGUUCUAGUACAGAGAUUAAUGGAUGAAAUUCGAGACUUAAAGCAAGAGAUUCAAGUUCAAGAAAGGCAUCAACCAGAUAAUGAUAAAUCUGCCGACAGAGUUUGUAACCAUGUUGAUAGUAAUAAGCUACAAGUUGAAUUGGAAACCCAUGUAUCAUCUACUACCCCAAUAGUACAACAAUCCAUACCUCCAAGUAAUACAACUUCGCCACUAAAAAUUGGAAACAGAGUGGUAGGGGGUGUAACUGGGAACAACAAUAACAAUAAUAACGUGAAUCCACCGUUGACACCGUGCACAAGAAUAUUAGCGAUGAAUAUGAUUGGUGACCUGAUGAGGAAAGUCGGACUUGACAGGUGGGUCUGCAUGGAGUGUAGGAGGGUAAAGUGCACUUGUCCGGGUGGGAAAAAAACAAUGUCUGCUACACCUACUGAUUUACCAUCCGUCCAGGCUCAUACACCUACACAAUGUAUACGACAACAACCUAGACCGACCAAGUGCUGACCAAGCCUCCAUCAUACCUCACCGCUAAAUUAUUUUCCACAUUCUUAUGACACAGGCAUUGGAGAACAAGCUAAACACCUGUCA
This is an RNA transcript of Dufourea novaeangliae, 1388 nucleotides long. It is a transcript of the gene named nuclear distribution protein nudE homolog 1-A, with no coding region annotated. The transcript has 8 exons. Lineage: Eukaryota; Metazoa; Arthropoda; Insecta; Hymenoptera; Halictidae. The record is from RefSeq and is a predicted model, not a curated record.